Molecule: long non-coding RNA, 1150 nt
Organism: Gasterosteus aculeatus aculeatus (three-spined stickleback)
Lineage: Eukaryota; Metazoa; Chordata; Actinopteri; Perciformes; Gasterosteidae
Source: Ensembl
GGACAAUUCUGAGGUAAAUAUGAUACUUGUAAUAAAAAAAGUUAAAUUCAUUCAAAUCAAUGUUUCUCGUUAGUAUGAAAUAUGACCAUGUGAAAUAUGUUGUUUCCGGUGACUGUUAUAGAGAAAUUCAACCACUGGAAAUUACAUUAAAUUAAAUUUACUGCCGCUGCAGCCAGAUACAUAUGUUGCUUACAUGUUAACACAUCCCUAAUGUAAUUUACUAGUGCUAUAAUUACGUUUCACUGAAAAAGCCAGUUUUGGCUGCAUAGUGAGUUUGUUUGCUCUUAAACUUUGAGUGCCCUUAGCUACUUUCAAUUAAAUAGGUUUCGAUUGCAGUGACCCAGUGGUUUUAAAUUGUAGCCAUAAUACUUUCAUUUAAGUUCAAUAUUUAAUGACCAAGUCAACCCCUCUUCUUACACUUAAGUCAAGGUUUGUGAUACGAGUCUUGAUUUUAAAUAUAAUAUAAAUAAAUAGACUACAUUAAUAUGUACACUUCCAAAAUUAACAAAUCCCGGGCCAUUAUAUACUCUAGAAAAAGAGCCAGAGCCCAGUGCAGAGCAACAAUUGAAUGUGGGCGUAUUUCCUUCUACAGAAGACAGCGUUUGAAAUAAAGAGACAACACUUUUUGCUGAGCCAAAGUCCAAGCUAUCUCUCCCCCUCACAUUUUUUUGAGUUGCUCAAAUUAGCCCUCCUUGGAUGAACCUCACGCCUUGCAAACACAUUUAAUGUAUAAGACACCGUAAGUGCAUUAGCCUAAUCCAUCCCACAAGGCUUGCUCUGCUCAAAGCAUUUCAGUGAGCGCAUGGUGGAGGAGCAUAGCUGAAGAUGGAGCUGCACACACAAGACCUCCAAUCCUGUCUUUGACGGAAAUUAAGAUACUGCCAAAUAUCGAAUUAUUUGGAGGACUGGUUGAGGACAAUGUUGAGAUUCAGUUUGCAAGUGUGGAUGUUAUUGUUGCUUCAUCCAGGUAAUGUUUAGAUGUACAUUUGGGCUGAGGUGUCUAUCAAGUGUAUAGAACAUUGCAAAACAUGCAACAUGCAUCUGCAAUCACAGUUCUUUUACAACUGUCUAGAUUUUCAAAAGCAUUUGUAUUAAGUAGUUCAUUUUAUGUAUUUUAAAUGUGGUUCUGGGUUCUCGUCUUUAUAGAUCA